Molecule: long non-coding RNA, 360 nt
Organism: Ceratina calcarata
Lineage: Eukaryota; Metazoa; Arthropoda; Insecta; Hymenoptera; Apidae
Exons: 3
Source: RefSeq, a predicted model, not a curated record
UUUCCUCAGGUGUGUGUUCUAGGAAAGGGUGACAAGCCAUGAUGCCAGCAUUGUUAAUUAGGAUCGUCACAUUUCCAACUUCCUCCCUAACUUUCUCAGCCGUUUUGAAUACUUCUUCCCUGUUUGAAACGUCGCAUCUACGGAUUGCGUGAAAUGAUGAGCGACCGAGCGAUCUUCUCUUCGAGAACGAUAUCCACGUAAAUUAUGCGAAUGCAACAGUCAUUAUCCGUAAUUACAGCAAUGUACGUAGUUGAUUACAUAUCUUGUUUCAGUGAGUAAAAGAGAAGAAUUAACGAUUUCGCUUACCGAUAUCGAGCUGGUGUAUCUCAGAUCGAAGUGAGCGGAUUUAAUCACGAAAAA